Molecule: microRNA, 21 nt
Filed under: Pristionchus pacificus
Lineage: Eukaryota; Metazoa; Nematoda; Chromadorea; Rhabditida; Neodiplogasteridae
Description: ppc-miR-8228-3p
Source: miRBase by way of RNAcentral
UACCGGUCGGUCACCGGUUCU